Molecule: ribosomal RNA, 253 nt
Filed under: uncultured bacterium
Lineage: Bacteria
Description: partial 16S ribosomal RNA
Rfam family: Bacterial small subunit ribosomal RNA
Source: RNAcentral
UACGUAGGUGGCAAGCGUUGUCCGGAAUUAUUGGGCGUAAAGCGCGCGCAGGCGGUCCUUUAAGUCUGAUGUGAAAGCCCACGGCUCAACCGUGGAGGGUCAUUGGAAACUGGGGGACUUGAGUGCAGAAGAGGAAAGCGGAAUUCCACGUGUAGCGGUGAAAUGCGUAGAGAUGUGGAGGAACACCAGUGGCGAAGGCGGCUUACUGGUCCGGUUCUGACGCUGAGGCGCGAAAGCGUGGGGAGCAAACAGG